AGAAUCUAAUCUUUUUGUCUUGAUUAUGAAACAUCUCAGCUCUUCCUUUAUCACACCCUUUCCUAAGCCCCAUUACAACCUUUGUAAAGUCCCUUUGAUUUUUGCAUCUAAUUCAUGUGUAGUGGUGGAGACUUGAUUCAUUAGCAAGCUUAUGGUAAUAACAUGCUUUGUUUUGAUUCCGAGAGUAAAUGCACCCUAAACACUUUGAGAGUAUUGAGUGAAACCAUGUAAGGGUGUUAAGUCUCGUUGCUUUGAUUUUGAUGAAUUAUUGAGAUACUUUUUCUUUUUACAAAAUUUAUCCUAUGAAUGCUAAUCUCUUGAUUGUCAUUAUUAUUCAGCUCAUUAAUGUAUGUUUAAUUUAUUUGGUAUUUGAGGAGAUUGAAAGAGAUGAAAGGAAGGUUAAAAGGAGAAUUGGUAUGUUGAAUUGAGGUAUGCUUGAGGACAAGCAUAAAUUAAGUGUGGGGGAAUUUGAUAAGUCACAAAUAGUUAUAUUUAUCGUGUCGAAUUUCCUUGCAAUUUGGUUGAAUAAUGUACUUAAUUAUGGAAAUUAUAUUUAUUCUGACUUAGGUGAUGCAAUAUCAAGGAUGGAGCAAAAUCCA
Molecule: long non-coding RNA, 599 nt
Filed under: Ricinus communis (castor bean)
Lineage: Eukaryota; Viridiplantae; Streptophyta; Magnoliopsida; Malpighiales; Euphorbiaceae
Description: long non-coding RNA (RCOM_LNC000578)
Source: RNAcentral